This is a long non-coding RNA of Rosa rugosa (rugosa rose), 946 nucleotides long. RefSeq lists it as uncharacterized. The record is from RefSeq and is a predicted model, not a curated record. The transcript has 5 exons. Lineage: Eukaryota; Viridiplantae; Streptophyta; Magnoliopsida; Rosales; Rosaceae.
UGCUUUGUACACGUAUUGAUCAGUUUGUCCAAGUUUCCACGUGUAGUGAUCAAUUACCAUACACCUAUCGGGCUUGAUGUCUUUCUAUGGUAAACCGAAGGUAGCUAUUUUCUUCUUGCUUUACCGAUUCCGAUCCCGGCCUCGACCUCCAUCAAGGUCAACACCCCCUGUUCGCUGAUAUCAGGCUUAUCCAUCGAUCGCAAUCAACAUCAGCAGAAUCUUGAUUCUGUUUGCGCUGCAAUUUCACAUCUAGGUGGUUAAUUACAACAACUUCAAGUGAGUGCCCACAAACAUUGAGUUAUCUCUACUGAUUUUGCUGGUUUUCUGUUAAGGGAAAGAGAUACGUUGAGUCCGCAACUUUGAUCGUGACUCUUUGACAGCCCAUUAGCUUUGUCUCCGUCGAUAGUGCGAAGUUUUCAGAACUGGAAGGGGUGCUUUAUCUGCUUUCAACGUGCUGGCAACAGUGGCUUGGUUUUACUGGUAGUUGAUCGUUUGGCGGUAAACAGUGAUUAGUUCUGUACCUGCCUGGGAUUUAAGUGGAGAAACAGAGGAGGGACUGUGUUAUAGUCACUGAGCUUGCGAAGCCGCUGAUUGCCUACUGCAUGUAAGAUUAGCCCAAUUUAAUUAUUUUUGUUCAAUUUUGUGAUUGUUUACUUCUGCACAGAUCAAAUUUUUGGAGAAAAGAUAAUCUGUGUGAUUGAAUUCCGAUGCUAACAAUGAAAACUCAUUAGACAUGACUAAAAAUGGGUGAAGGUCAUAUUUUCAAGCUUUCCUUGGCUUUUCAGUUCAGAUAUUAUUGGAGUGGUGUUGUUCUGUUUUGACUGUGAUCAGACAUUACUAUUUUGUUUUUUUUUCAAAACUUCAUUUGCUUUUGUGUUGUGGUUAGUUACUUUGAAGGAGAUGUGUUUCUGCAGAUUUAUUAAUGUCAUAUCUAACUAUUAACAAA